Molecule: unclassified non-coding RNA, 23 nt
Filed under: Chlamydomonas reinhardtii
Lineage: Eukaryota; Viridiplantae; Chlorophyta; Chlorophyceae; Chlamydomonadales; Chlamydomonadaceae
Description: small RNA Cre_3833
Source: RNAcentral
UUCGGCGACGGUGAAAUACCACU